This 253-nucleotide ribosomal RNA is filed under the name uncultured bacterium. RNAcentral describes it as "partial 16S ribosomal RNA". It matches the Rfam family "Bacterial small subunit ribosomal RNA", at positions 524 to 776 of the family's 1533-position model. The record is from RNAcentral.
UACGGAGGGUGCAAGCGUUGUUCGGAAUUACUGGGCGUAAAGCGCGUGUAGGCGGUUAGGCAAGUCAGAUGUGAAAGCCUUUCGCUUAACGGAAGAAUUGCAUUUGAAACUACCUGGCUGGAGUUCGGGAGAGGAGAGUGGAAUUCCCGGUGUAGAGGUGAAAUUCGUAGAUAUCGGGAGGAACACCGGUGGCGAAGGCGGCUCUCUGGCCCGAUACUGACGCUGAGACGCGAAAGCGUGGGGAGCAAACAGG